This 492-nucleotide ribosomal RNA is filed under the name uncultured bacterium. RNAcentral's name for it is "partial 16S ribosomal RNA". It matches the Rfam family "Bacterial small subunit ribosomal RNA", at positions 29 to 507 of the family's 1533-position model. The record is from RNAcentral.
AGUGAACGCUGGCGGUAGGCCUAACACAUGCAAGUCGAACGGCAGCACAGUAAGAGCUUGCUCUUACGGGUGGCGAGUGGCGGACGGGUGAGGAAUACAUCGGAAUCUACUUUUUCGUGGGGGAUAACGUAGGGAAACUUACGCUAAUACCGCAUACGACCUACGGGUGAAAGCAGGGGAUCUUCGGACCUUGCGCGAUUGAAUGAGCCGAUGUCGGAUUAGCUAGUUGGCGGGGUAAAGGCCCACCAAGGCGACGAUCCGUAGCUGGUCUGAGAGGAUGAUCGGCCACAGGGGAAAUGAGAAAAGGGCAAGACUAUGACGGGAGGCAGCAGGAGGGAAUAUGAAGAAAUGGGCGAAAGCAUGACGGAGCAAUGUAGGGUGAGGGAUGAAGGUAUUCGGAUCGUAAAAAUCUGUUAGUAGGGAAGAACAAAUGUGUAAGUAAAUAUGCACGUGUUGACGGUAACUAAUAAGAAAGACACGGCUAACUACGUG